UGGGGAAUAUUGGACAAUGGGCGCAAGCCUGAUCCAGCCAUGCCGCGUGUGUGAAGAAGGCCUUUUGGUUGUAAAGCACUUUAAGCGAGGAGGAGGCGACUUGGAUUAAUACUCUAAGAUAGUGGACGUUACUCGCAGAAUAAGCACCGGCUAACUCUGUGCCAGCAGCCGCGGUAAUACAGAGGGUGCGAGCGUUAAUCGGAUUUACUGGGCGUAAAGCGUGCGUAGGCGGCUUCUUAAGUCGGAUGUGAAAUCCCUGAGCUUAACUUAGGAAUUGCAUUCGAUACUGGGAAGCUAGAGUAUGGGAGAGGAUGGUAGAAUUCCAGGUGUAGCGGUGAAAUGCGUAGAGAUCUGGAGGAAUACCGAUGGCGAAGGCAGCCAUCUGGCCUAAUACUGACGCUGAGGUACGAAAGCAUGGGGAGCAAACAGG
This 430-nucleotide ribosomal RNA is filed under the name bacterium. Its description in RNAcentral is "partial 16S ribosomal RNA". It matches the Rfam family "Bacterial small subunit ribosomal RNA", at positions 355 to 776 of the family's 1533-position model. The record is from RNAcentral.